Molecule: ribosomal RNA, 611 nt
Filed under: uncultured Bacteroidota bacterium
Lineage: Bacteria; Pseudomonadati; Bacteroidota
Description: bacterial SSU rRNA
Rfam family: Bacterial small subunit ribosomal RNA
Source: RNAcentral
GACAAUGGGCGGGAGCCUGAUCCAGCCAUGCCGCGUGCAGGAAGACUGCCCUAUGGGUUGUAAACUGCUUUUAUACAGGAAGAAUAAGCCUUACGUGUAAGGUGAUGACGGUACUGUAAGAAUAAGGACCGGCUAACUCCGUGCCAGCAGCCGCGGUAAUACGGAGGGUCCGAGCGUUAUCCGGAAUUAUUGGGUUUAAAGGGUCCGUAGGCGGAUGAUUAAGUCAGGGGUGAAAGUUUGCAGCUCAACUGUAAAAUUGCCUUUGAUACUGGUUAUCUUGAGUUGUAUUGAAGUAGGCGGAAUAUGUAGUGUAGCGGUGAAAUGCAUAGAUAUUACAUAGAACACCAAUUGCGAAGGCAGCUUACUAAGUACUAACUGACGCUGAUGGACGAAAGCGUGGGUAGCGAACAGGAUUAGAUACCCUGGUAGUCCACGCCGUAAACGAUGGAUACUAGCUGUUCGGGACCUUGAGUUCUGAGCGGCUAAGCGAAAGUGAUAAGUAUCCCACCUGGGGAGUACGUUCGCAAGAAUGAAACUCAAAGGAAUUGACGGGGGCCCGCACAAGCGGUGGAGCAUGUGGUUUAAUUCGAUGAUACGCGAGGAACCUUACC